Araneus ventricosus is the source of this 74-nucleotide non-coding RNA. NCBI's taxonomy places the organism in Eukaryota, Metazoa, Arthropoda, Arachnida, Araneae, Araneidae. The record is from the annotation of a GenBank genome assembly.
GCUACCAUAGCUCAGAGGUUAGAGCACUGGUCUCGUAAACCAAGAAGUCGCGAGUUCGAAUCUCUUUAGUGGCU